AAUAAAUGUUAAUUGAAUUUAUGAACAAAAAUAUACACACAUACCAUAUUUUUAAACUUUCCAUAUUUUCAAAUCACAUAAAAUUCUAUUUGUCUCUAAAGUAGUUCCAAAAUAGUAUUUAAAUACAUUCAUCAAAUGUCCUGCAUGUAUAUAUGUAUACAUAUAUGUAUAGGGAUAUCAAUAUAGACAUAUGAGAGAUGAAGAGAGAGUAUAUAUGCUUAAAUGUAUACACAUGCACAUGCCAGUAAAAGACAAUACCAACAAAGAAUUUCCCUGUGCUUUGAUUGCAGUCUUACAUUCUUAAUUAGUUAUAGUGAGCCCCGUAGACUAUACUGUAAGCUCUAAACAAGUGAGAGUCAGUAUUCUAUGUUGAAAUGUUCUCUGCCAACAGUGCUUUACCUCGAUAUCCUGAGUGUAUUAUUUUUUUUAAUUUUUUGUAAUGUUUAUUUUUGAGAGAGACAAAGAGAGAGCACAAGUGUGGUGGGGAGGGGCAGAGAGGGAGACACAGAAUCAGGCUCCAGGCUCUGCGCUGUCAGCACAGAACCCAACGUGGGGCUCAAACUCACAACCAUGAGAUCAUGACCUGAGCUGAAGUUGGAUGCUUAACCGACUGAGCCACCCAAGUGCCCCCUGAGUGUAUUACUUUUUCUUUAAUUUUUUAAUGGAUAUUUAUUUUUGAGAGGGAGAGAGACAGAGUGCAAGCAGAGGAGGGGCAGAGAGAGAGGGAGACACAGAAUCUGAAGCAGGCUCCUGGCUCUGAGCUGUCAGCACAGAGCUGGACGCUGGGCUCAAACUCACAAACUGUGAGAUCAUGACCUGAGCUGAAGUCGGAUGCUCAACCAACUGAGCCAUCCAGGCACCACCCUCCUUCCCCCCAGUGUAUGCUUAUGUGUGUAGCUUCUUCUAUCAUGAGGUCUCAUUCUGCUGUUUUCAGUGUCUUAGCAAAGACUUCUGACUCAUCAAAACUGACAAAAUACAUAAAAAGAAACCCAGGAAAAAUAUCAUUCUAUAUUUUCAAAUGCAAAUUCUAGAGCAUCUUUAGGUAGAUAAAAAAAAUACACUUUAGAAGCUAAGUAUAGAUUGUGGGAAGACAUUUGACAUUAUAAAGUUAUAAAGGCAGCUGUAAACUUCUCUGGAACCUGAAAGGAAUGCCAAUACUUGUGUGAAUCACACUGGAAUUAACUUGGCUGGUUCCCAAAAAUAAUUUUUUAAAUGGAAGAGUAAUUGCCAGUCUAUGAGGUCAGAAACAGCUCCAAAGGAGUCAUGCUUAUCUUUGGUUCAGUUCUUUCACUGCUAGUAGCUUUGCUCUUCUUGCUAAAUAGGUGUUGUAUAUUGGUUUGGUAUGGUUUCAAAUCCACUUUUUACGACUCAGGUGAAGUUGUUUUCAUCUAAGGGUGAAUUUUUUUACAUUGAGGAAGGUGUGUUGGGAUGUUGUUAUCAACAUCUGUUAAUUGUCAAGAAGUACUCAGUAGCUCAACUGUUAGCAGGUGCUGCUAAGAACGUAUCAGUAAGAACAUAUGGAAGAGGAGCUAUGACAAAAUUGAUAUUUAAACUUUAAAUAUCAAGAAUUUGCGAGGACUUACAAGUGUUCAGUCUGGGCAAGACUACCCUUUGCUGAUCUAAAUAGCUUUCCAACAACUGUGGGCCAUUUGUUUCUGCUACAGCAAGGCAACUUUUUUCCAGUAGUGGUGAAAAUUGUGCAGCGGCCCCUUGAAGGAAAUCAUCCUGCCCACCAGAACUGGCAGCUUCAUUUCCCUAGCAACCUGCUCCAGCAACAAGGGUCCUCUGCUCUGGCUCUGGCAGCACUUGGUUGGCAAAGCCGACUCUUCGGAGAACCAACUUGUUGAAAGGAAUUGUACUAGUCUUCAGGAAAGAAAGUGCAUAUGCAUCCCUGGAACAGUACAUUGUGAAACUAUGGAAUUACCAAAACUACAGAACAAAUAGAAAAGAAAGUCAAUCCGGCAGGAUUGUUUUGAAUAAGAAGAAAAAAGGAAGGAAGUCAUGUCAGCAAAUUAGGAACAAUGUGAUUAGAACCAGCCAUGACUUUGAGAGACAGAGCAUGAGUCUGGAGAGACAGAGAAAGAGAAGGAGACACAGAAUCCGAAGCAGGCUCUAGGCUGUGAGCCAUCAGCCCAGAACCUAACGUGGGACUUGAACCCACAAACUGCGAGAUCAUGACCUGAGCUGAGGUUGGACGCUUACCCCCUUGAGCCACCCAGGCACCCCAUCCUCUUUUGGAUUUAAACCACAUAUUUUAUUUGUAUCACAUUUCAGUAAGUUUUUCAAGAUUUCCAUUGACUGGCAAAAGCUAUUUUUAUGGUCUUUCUGUUUCGCAUCCUGAAAUUCUUGCUGAUAUGGAUGGGCCAAUAGCUACCACAUACCAUCUUCUGUUGUCUCACUAUGAAACACAUGAAAAUCACUAUAGUUAGUCUCCACAGUAAAUAAUUUACGUUGAGGAUCCCUUAACUUCUGAUUUUCGUAAUUCUAUACCUUUGGCUUAAUACAGAUAAGCCUCACACCAAAUCCUAAAUUAGGAAUGAUUACUACAUAUCUACUACAUGAAAUAAAGUACUAAAAGAAGUGGUACAAUGAAGAUUCACCAUUAUUUCCUUUAGAAAAUUAGGUCACAGAAACUGUGUAAGUGUGUGUUUGUAUAUAUAUGCAUACACAUAACAUAUUCAUGUACAUAUAUACUAGGAUAGAAAGCACUAUGCCAUCAUAAUGUCAAAGUAUAUUGGGAGUUUAAGCAAAAGUAGAUCCUGGGAAGACUUUAUAAAAUAAUGGCCUUUCAGUCUUAAGUUAUAAAAAGGUUUUAGGUGUAAGGAGAUCAGAAAAGGUGUAUUUUAAGAAAAUGGAAAGUACAAUUAAAGAAAGAGAUUAGAAAUAGUUUGUAGAGGAUGUGGCAAAUAGAAAUAGUUUCGUUUGAUUGAAACAGAACUAAUACUGCUCAUAAGUAAUAUUUUUAUUUUUUUUUAAUUUUUUUUAACGUUUAUUUAUUUUUGAGACAGAGAGAGACAGAGCAUGAACAGGGGAGGGUCAGAGACAGAGGGAUACACAGAAUCUGAAACAGGCUCCAGGCUCUGAGCAGUCAGCACAGAGCCCGACGCGGAGCUUGAACUCACAGACCGCGAGAUCAUGAUCUGAGCCGAAGUCGGACGCCUAACCGACUGAGCCACCCAGGUGCCCCCAUAAGUAAUAUUUUUAAAAUAUUUUAGAACCACAGGAUAAAAUGUUUGAACCUUGUGAUAUAAAUAACAUGGGGUCAUUCAGCAUUAUGAGUAUAAAAGAGAGGAGUUUCACAAAGAUUAAUCCAAUACCAGAAUGAAAAACUUAGUGGAACAGGGGGAAAUUGGAGGUGGUAAACCUACUUCAAAGGCAAUUCCAAUUGUGCAGACAAAGAAUAAAACCUAUCUCUGUACACAAACAAAAACCAGAACAACCGAUCCUUUUACAAGACUAUACAUCUUUUUCAUAGAAAAAAAAAAAGUUUAAUCAGAAGGCUUAAUGGGGUAGAUGUUAUUCAGUCAUCUACAAGAAAGGAAAUGUAUUUCUGAUUUAGUCAUAAAAUCUGAGACCAUUCCCCUGUUCAGUCAUCUAUAGAAUAAAUGAUGUGCUCUGCACCAUCACAAAGCAGUCUGACAUACUAUUUUCACAUUUAGAAAUCUGAAUUUAGUAUCUGCAAUAAAGAAACUAAAAAUACAAUCUACUCUAAAACUCACUUUCCCUCCUGUCCUCUCUUGCUUAUUCCAGCUAAUUGUAUCUCUUUCCCCUCUAAAACAAAAUUCAAGACAUCAACAUUGCCCUGCAAUUAUAUUUUAUCUUACGUAAGGAUGGUCACUGACAAUCGAAGCUAAUCCAGGAUUUUGUUAAAUAAAAAGUCCAUAUAGGGUCACUUAGGUUGAGUAGAGUGAUUUUAUCCUUUUAUCAAAUCAAAUAUGAGGGAUUCACUUCUGCUAAAAUUACCUCUAUGGGUCUUUGCCUAUAGUGUGAUGAAGGUCACUGAGUUGAUUAAAGAGUUCGUGGCAAUAAUGGGGUCUGCUGCAGAUGCGAUCUGAAAUGAUCAAAAAAAAUUGAGAGCACAAGGGACUCAAAUGGUUCAGUGGAGAUAAUAUACCUGAAAAAAAUCUAUCCUCUGUGAAUGAUUACUCCUCCAAGCAGAAAGAAGUCUGAGAAUAGAGGGACUACAUAUUCUCCCUCUGAAACUAUGAGAGAAUGUGAGAAACAAGUUUAAAAAUGAAAGGUGAAUAAAAACAGGGAAGCAAGGAAGAACUCUUAGUGUGGAAAUCUAACUUCCUGGAAGAAUUAAGAGGCUCUGUGGAGUGUAUGAGGGAGACAUCCAUUCAUCUGGAACACAGAGGAAGAAACAAGAUGGGAAGUACUCAUCUGUCAGCGUACUGGGCCUUACCUUGCUGGUUACCAAGUUGUAUGUGUAUAUCUUGCCUCUGCUCUGUUAAGUUCCCUGGAGGCAAAAGUACUCUAUCAAUUUUCUUUGUAUCUCUAGAACCAUGCAUGGGGCCAUGUCAUCACAAUGCUUAAUACAGUAUACAUAAUUUAUCUAAUGGCCUUAGAAGUUUAUCAUCUUAUGAUAACUGAAUCUCUUGAGGGCAACAACUAUUUCUUGUUUAUCACUGUAAACCUCAGCAACUAAUGCAUAACGG
Long non-coding RNA from Acinonyx jubatus (cheetah), 4658 nucleotides. RefSeq lists it as uncharacterized. NCBI's taxonomy places the organism in Eukaryota, Metazoa, Chordata, Mammalia, Carnivora, Felidae. The transcript is spliced from 4 exons. The record is from RefSeq and is a predicted model, not a curated record.